This 405-nucleotide ribosomal RNA is filed under the name uncultured bacterium. RNAcentral's name for it is "partial 16S ribosomal RNA". It matches the Rfam family "Bacterial small subunit ribosomal RNA", at positions 30 to 526 of the family's 1533-position model. The record is from RNAcentral.
AUUGAACGCUAGCGGGAUGCUUUACACAUGCAAGUCGAACGAGUGGCGGACGGGUGAGUAAUAUAUCGGAACGUGCCCAGUAGCGGGGGCUAACUACUCGAAAGAGUGGCUAAUACCGCAUACUCUUGGAGCGGCCGAUAUCGGAUUAGCUAGUGGGUGGGGUAAAGGCUCACCAAGGCAACGAUCCGUAGCUGGUUUGAAAGGACGACCAGCCACACUGGGACUGAGGCACGGCCCAGAGUCCUACGGAGGGCAGCAGUGGGGAAUAUUGGACAAUGGGGGAAAACCUGAUCCAGCCAUCCCGCGUGUAUGAGAAGGCCUUCGGGUUGUAAAGUACUUUUGGCAGAGAAGCGGUGUCUGCAGAAUAAGCACCGGCUAACUACGUGCCAGCCGCCGCGGUAAUUC